AAUCUUCCACAAUGGACGAAAGUCUGAUGGAGCAACGCCGCGUGAGCGAAGAAGGUUUUCGGAGCGUAAAGCUCUGUUGCGAGGGAAGAACAAGUACGGGAGUAACCGACAGUACCUUGACGGUACAUCGUCAGAAAGCCACGGCGAACUACGUGCCAGUAGACGCGCUAAUACGUAGGUGGCAAGCGUUGUCCGGAAUUCUUGGGCGUAAAGCGCGCGCAGGCGGUCCUUUAAGUCAGAUGUGAAAGCCCACGGCUCAACCGUGGAGGGUCAUUGGAAACUGGAGGACUUGAGUACAGAAGAGGAAAGCGGAAUUCCACGUGUAGCGGUGAGAUGCGUAGAGAUGUGGAGGAACGCCAGUGGCGAGGGCGGCUUUCUGGUCUGUAACUGACGCUGAGGCGCGAAAGCGUGGGGAGCAAACA
This 422-nucleotide ribosomal RNA is filed under the name uncultured bacterium. RNAcentral's name for it is "partial 16S ribosomal RNA". It matches the Rfam family "Bacterial small subunit ribosomal RNA", at positions 360 to 774 of the family's 1533-position model. The record is from RNAcentral.